AUGAUAACAGUUUUCAUCGACGGUUACUAUGAGGAACCAAUGGAUGUCAUGGCACUGUUUGGUCUGAGGGGCAUUCAGCAUACUCCCAUCAGCAUCAAGAAUGCCCGUGUAUCUCAGCACUACAAGACCAGCCUCACUGCCACUUUCAACCUGUUUCCAGAAGCCAAAUUUGCUGUGGUUCUGGAAGAGGACUUGGACAUUGCUGUAGAUUUCUUCAGCUUCUUAAGCCAAUCCAUCCACCUGCUGGAGGAGGAUAACAGCCUGUAUUGCAUCUCAACCUGGAAUGACCAGGGAUAUGAACACAUGGCUGAAGACCCAGCACUGUUGUACCGAGUGGAGACCAUGCCUGGAUUGGGCUGGGUACUCAGGAAAUCCUUGUAUAGAGAGGAACUUGGACCUAAGUGGCCCACACCAGAAAAGCUCUGGGACUGGGACAUGUGGAUGCGGAUGCCUGAACAACGCCGGGGCCGAGAGUGCAUCAUCCCUGACAUUUCCCGAUCUUACCACUUUGGCAUUGUUGACCUCAAUAUGAAUGGCGACUUCCAUGAAGCCUAUUUCAAGAAGCACAAGUUCAACACAGUUCCAGGUGUCCAGCUUAGGAAUGUGGACAGCUUGAAGAAGGAAGCUUAUGAAGUGGAAAUUUCACAGACUACUCAGUGAGGCUGAGGUCCUGGAUCACAGCAAAAACCCUUGGGAAGACUCUUUAUUGCCAGAUACGGAAGGUCACACCUAUGUGCCCUUAUUUUAUGGAGAAAGAUGAUGACUUCACCACCUGGACCCAGCUUGCCAAGUGCCUCCAUAUCUGGAACCUAGAUGUACGGGGAAACCAUCGGGGACUGGGGAGGUUAUUUCGGAAGAAGAACCACUUCCUUGUGGUGGGAGUCCCAGCCUCCCCCUACUCAGUGAAGAAACCACCAUCAGUCACCCCCAUAUUCCUGGAGCCACCCCCAAAGGAAGAGGGGGCCCCAGGAGCUGCAGAGCAAACAUGAGACCUCCUCCAAGACCCUGCAGG
Elephantulus edwardii (Cape elephant shrew) is the source of this 1012-nucleotide RNA transcript. It is a transcript of the gene named protein O-linked mannose N-acetylglucosaminyltransferase 1 (beta 1,2-) pseudogene, with no coding region annotated. The record is from RefSeq and is a predicted model, not a curated record. Lineage: Eukaryota; Metazoa; Chordata; Mammalia; Macroscelidea; Macroscelididae. The transcript has a single exon.